GGCAAAUUAGUCCGGGAAUCAGCAAGGCUGUUUUUCAGAAAAGUGCACCAGUCCGAGGCCGGAUCCCGGUAGGAAGUCCGACGCUGGAACCCGGCGGGGAGUACGAAGCCGGAUCUCUGCAGUUCGUCAAUAAGGCAGCCCAAAACUUUCCGCAUUUUUGGAUCAUCUGUGGAACAGGCAGCAAUUUUUGGAGCGAUCCGUGAAGGGGAAGGCUUGCCACUUGUAACAGUGGACCAAACAAGCCAGCAACCCCGUCCAAAGUGUCUUGCAUU
Molecule: long non-coding RNA, 272 nt
Organism: Ochlerotatus camptorhynchus
Lineage: Eukaryota; Metazoa; Arthropoda; Insecta; Diptera; Culicidae
Exons: 3
Source: RefSeq, a predicted model, not a curated record